GAUUAAUACUCCAUAAUAUAUUGAUUGGCAUCAAUUAAUAUUGAAAGCUCCGGCGGAUAGAGAUGGGCACGCGCAAGAUUAGUUAGUUGGUGAGGUAACGGCUCACCAAGACGAUGAUCUUUAGGGGGCCUGAGAGGGUGAUCCCCCACACUGGUACUGAGACACGGACCAGACUCCUACGGGAGGCAGCAGUGAGGAAUAUUGGACAAUGGGUGCAAGCCUGAUCCAGCCAUCCCGCGUGAAGGACGACUGCCCUAUGGGUUGUAAACUUCUUUUGUAUAGGGAUAAACCUCUCCUCGUGAGGAGAGCUGAAGGUACUAUACGAAUAAGCACCGGCUAACUCCGUG
Molecule: ribosomal RNA, 347 nt
Filed under: uncultured bacterium
Lineage: Bacteria
Description: bacterial SSU rRNA
Rfam family: Bacterial small subunit ribosomal RNA
Source: RNAcentral